UAUCAUUAACUGAAUCCAUAGGUUAAUGAGGCGAACCGGGGGAACUGAAACAUCUAAGUACCCCGAGGAAAAGAAAUCAACCGAGAUUCCCCCAGUAGCGGCGAGCGAACGGGGAGGAGCCCAGAGCCUGAAUCAGCAUGUGUGUUAGUGGAAGCGUCUGGAAAGGCGCGCGAUACAGGGUGACAGCCCCGUACACAAAAGCGCAUGUGCUGUGAGCUCGAUGAGUAGGGCGGGACACGUGGUAUCCUGUCUGAAUAUGGGGGGACCAUCCUCCAAGGCUAAAUACUCCUGACUGACCGAUAGUGAACCAGUACCGUGAGGGAAAGGCGAAAAGAACCCCGGCGAGGGGAGUGAAAAAGAACCUGAAACCGUGUACGUACAAGCAGUGGGAGCACCCUUUGGGUGUGACUGCGUACCUUUUGUAUAAUGGGUCAGCGACUUAUAUUCUGUAGCAAGGUUAACCGAAUAGGGGAGCCGGAGGGAAACCGAGUCUUAACCGGGCGUUAAGUUGCAGGGUAUAGACCCGAAACCCGGUGAUCUAGCCAUGGGCAGGUUGAAGGUUGGGUAACACUAACUGGAGGACCGAACCGACUAAUGUUGAAAAAUUAGCGGAUGACCUGUGGCUGGGGGUGAAAGGCCAAUCAAACCGGGAGAUAGCUGGUUCUCCCCGAAAGCUAUUUAGGUAGCGCCUCGUGAAUUCAUCUCCGGGGGUAGAGCACUGUUUCGGCUAGGGGGCCAUCCCGGCUUACCAACCCGAUGCAAACUGCGAAUACCGGAGAAUGUUAUCACGGGAGACACACGGCGGGUGCUAACGUCCGUCGUGAAGAGGGAAACAACCCAGACCGCCAGCUAAGGUCCCAAAGUCAUGGUUAAGUGGGAAACGAUGUGGGAAGGCCCAGACAGCCAGGAUGUUGGCUUAGAAGCAGCCAUCAUUUAAAGAAAGCGUAAUAGCUCACUGGUCGAGUCGGCCUGCGCGGAAGAUGUAACGGGGCUAAACCAUGCACCGAAGCUGCGGCAGCGACACUGUGUGUUGUUGGGUAGGGGAGCGUUCUGUAAGCCUGCGAAGGUGGCCUGUGAGGGUUGCUGGAGGUAUCAGAAGUGCGAAUGCUGACAUAAGUAACGAUAAAGCGGGUGAAAAGCCCGCUCGCCGGAAGACCAAGGGUUCCUGUCCAACGUUAAUCGGGGCAGGGUGAGUCGACCCCUAAGGCGAGGCCGAAAGGCGUAGUCGAUGGGAAACGGGUUAAUAUUCCCGUACUUGGUGUUACUGCGAAGGGGGGACGGAGAAGGCUAUGUUGGCCGGGCGACGGUUGUCCCGGUUUAAGCGUGUAGGUGUGUGUUCCAGGUAAAUCCGGUUCACUUUAACACUGAGGCGUGACGACGAGGCACUACGGUGCUGAAGCAACAAAUGCCCUGCUUCCAGGAAAAGCCUCUAAGCAUCAGGUAACAUCAAAUCGUACCCCAAACCGACACAGGUGGUCAGGUAGAGAAUACCAAGGCGCUUGAGAGAACUCGGGUGAAGGAACUAGGCAAAAUGGUGCCGUAACUUCGGGAGAAGGCACGCUGACACGUAGGUGAAGUGAUUUACUCAUGGAGCUGAAGUCAGUCGAAGAUACCAGCUGGCUGCAACUGUUUAUUAAAAACACAGCACUGUGCAAACACGAAAGUGGACGUAUACGGUGUGACGCCUGCCCGGUGCCGGAAGGUUAAUUGAUGGGGUCAGCGCAAGCGAAGCUCCUGAUCGAAGCCCCGGUAAACGGCGGCCGUAACUAUAACGGUCCUAAGGUAGCGAAAUUCCUUGUCGGGUAAGUUCCGACCUGCACGAAUGGCGUAAUGAUGGCCAGGCUGUCUCCACCCGAGACUCAGUGAAAUUGAACUCGCUGUGAAGAUGCAGUGUACCCGCGGCAAGACGGAAAGACCCCGUGAACCUUUACUAUAGCUUGACACUGAACAUUGAGCCUUGAUGUGUAGGAUAGGUGGGAGGCUUUGAAGUGUGGACGCCAGUCUGCAUGGAGCCGACCUUGAAAUACCACCCUUUAAUGUUUGAUGUUCUAACGUGGACCCGUUACCCGGGUUGCGGACAGUGUCUGGUGGGUAGUUUGACUGGGGCGGUCUCCUCCUAAAGAGUAACGGAGGAGCACGAAGGUUGGCUAAUCCUGGUCGGACAUCAGGAGGUUAGUGCAAUGGCAUAAGCCAGCUUGACUGCGAGCGUGACGGCGCGAGCAGGUGCGAAAGCAGGUCAUAGUGAUCCGGUGGUUCUGAAUGGAAGGGCCAUCGCUCAACGGAUAAAAGGUACUCCGGGGAUAACAGGCUGAUACCGCCCAAGAGUUCAUAUCGACGGCGGUGUUUGGCACCUCGAUGUCGGCUCAUCACAUCCUGGGGCUGAAGUAGGUCCCAAGGGUAUGGCUGUUCGCCAUUUAAAGUGGUACGCGAGCUGGGUUUAGAACGUCGUGAGACAGUUCGGUCCCUAUCUGCCGUGGGCGCUGGAGAACUGAGGGGGGCUGCUCCUAGUACGAGAGGACCGGAGUGGACGCAUCACUGGUGUUCGGGUUGUCAUGCCAAUGGCACUGCCCGGUAGCUAAAUGCGGAAGAGAUAAGUGCUGAAAGCAUCUAAGCACGAAACUUGCCCCGA
This 2629-nucleotide ribosomal RNA is filed under the name Salmonella enterica subsp. enterica. Its description in RNAcentral is "partial 23S ribosomal RNA". It matches the Rfam family "Bacterial large subunit ribosomal RNA". RNAcentral also lists the same sequence under 1 other name. The record is from RNAcentral. Lineage: Bacteria; Pseudomonadati; Pseudomonadota; Gammaproteobacteria; Enterobacterales; Enterobacteriaceae.